Pezoporus occidentalis (night parrot) is the source of this 4618-nucleotide long non-coding RNA. RefSeq lists it as uncharacterized. The transcript has 2 exons. NCBI's taxonomy places the organism in Eukaryota, Metazoa, Chordata, Aves, Psittaciformes, Psittacidae. The record is from RefSeq and is a predicted model, not a curated record.
GAACUUUUGAUACAGGUAAUUAAUCCGCUGGUGUGCUUUUUCAUUUUUACUCAAUGCCAUACAUCUGUGCUAGAAGCUGCUUUUAUAUGUCAGAUGUCAAAGAGCCUUUGGAGGAGGGGUUUUAUAUUCACAGGGCAAGGCCAAAUACAGAGAGCUGCCAGAUAUUCAAAGGGACUCCAUGCUGCAGUAGGAAGGAUUUAUCCCCGAAGAGCUGUUCAUGUAUGAACUUGCUAGGAAAUAAACAAGGCAAAGCCUUUGAUUUAACUAGUCUCCACUAAAAUCACAUCAGUGGUAUUGGUUUGCUGUGUGAGUAACUAAGAUUAAUAUGACUGUCACCUGGAGGUAUAUUCAUGCGUUCCUCCUGCUGAAGCACCUGGGCACCAUUUGUAGUCACCCAUAGUGCAAAUAACCAUGAGUGUCAGGUAAGGAAAUAUGGGUUCUCUUUUCCUUUUUUUUUUUUAGAUAUUAUCUGUGUGCACGUUUACAAACCAAAGCUAAACUUUGCAAUUCAGUACUCAUGUUUUUGGCCAUGCUCAUACCUGCCACUUUUCCCUUGCUGGUUUCCUGCAUAUACUGCCUCAUCACCCUGUCCAUUUCCCCAUAACCCAUCCCUGUCCAUUUCUGCCUCUGGAUUUCCCCUCUGACAUUUCAAGUCACUGCCCAAGAGUCUGGGAAUUCCGAGCUUUCCAAAGAGAAGUUAUUUACAUUUAUUUUCAGAGGGAUUAACAUGGGAUUUUUUACCCACAUUUCUCAAAAUAGCCUGAAAUUAUUUUGGUGAGGUUUUUACUAAAAAGGACGUUCAUAAAUAAAGGUUUUUAUAAAAUAAAGGUUUUCACUAAUGAGGAUUUUGACAAAAAAUACAGUAGGCUAAGGCCCUGGAUCUAGAAAAUACCAGCCCAACCCCAGCUAGUUUUGCAACAUGCAUGACAGGCAUCUGAAAGCAUUAUUAUAUAAUGGGAAUAUUUGGCAACUGUUCCUCAUGAGUGACACCAGCCUGUGCUCAGGUUCGUCUUGCUUCACAGCCCAGCAGAAGGGGUUUGUGUGGUGAAUGUUUGUCACCAUAAUUCCUCUAGGAAUUAUUUGGAGUUGGGAUUUUCUAAAGCGUUUAAGAGAACAUGAGCCAUUCAGCUAUCACUGAAUUUUGAAUUAAAAUGGGAUGUAAACUUCACCGCUUGAAAAUCCAGGUCUUAAGAUUGCAGAUGGGUACUUCCUCUGAGCAGUUUUUCUGUCUAACCAGCACACAAAUACAUAUGGUUAUAUUUUGAGGUGAAAAUUAUUUCUAUUAUAUUCAUACUUGAAUCCUUCAUAAUCUUUCACUGUGCUUGCUGGUGCUUCAUACCAAACACUUAAUGCAAAAGACAACCCUUUAGCCUUUUUACAUAAACCUAAAACUUUUAAUACGUAUUUAUAAUGAGAACCAGUUGUGACAGCUGUCAUGCUGACACAAUAAUGCCUACAGAGAGGGAGAGACUGGUUGACCAGAGACUAACUUUUAUUGUGCAUUUUUAUACAACAGAACAAAUGGAACUGGAGGUAUGUAGUAAUAAAACCAAUACUCAAAUUAGAAUUAACACCUGAAAUAGUAAACUUUAAGUAACAAAUGUCUUUAUAAUUAAAAAAUAUUGACUGUUUAAAAAAUCUCUAAGAUUUUAUAUUCUUUAAAAGAAAUGUGUAUUGCCACAUAGAAAACAAUUCACACAUCCUAUAGAAAUCGUCACAAAAACCUUACUAAUCUAUAUUACACUAUGCACUUUUUUUUUUGUACAAUAUCUGGUAAAGGUCUAUCCCUAACCUGUACUUACUCUACACAGUACAAUCAUCAUAGAAAGUAUUCAUAGAAUUAACUACACCAUAACAAUAAAAAUAUCAGGAUUAAUGGUUUUUUAAUCACAGUUUCUCCACAAAUAUUUGUCAUAGAAAAUAUAGCGAAGGCAUGUUGGCACAGAUGGGCGUGCAGUACUGCUACAUAAAGUUAGAGAGAAGGCAGAUACGUAAAUGACAGUAAGAUUAAAGAGUAUGGAAGAAUAAGACAAGAAUCACAAUUCUCCUGGGACUUUCUGGAGUGACAUGAUAGAUAGCAGUUUCCUUCUGUCACAAGCCUGCUGCCUAUAUCCAGAGCUGGGAAAGCAUGUGCUGACUUUCAAAGCACGCUGCUUAAAUAUGGGCAUCUUGCUGUGCAAGGGCUUAUCUGCUAUCUAUUAUUUCAGGUCCCAUACUAUUGUACCUAACCUCUUGUGGAUAUUUAGACACUUCAAUGUCUAUGAAUUUAUAAUGCCUCAUGAACAAGUGAAUUGGAGUAAGCUGUUGUGAAAGGUUUGGGUUUUAUUUUUGUUUAAAUGAAAUGGAUGGGUCAAGAGUCAAGUGGCCAUGAUGGCAAUUAAAACCAGACAGACAGCUAAGGAAAGUUGUUGUACUCUGUUAUUUUAAACUCAAAUGUGAACAAAAAAAGAUGAGCUAGUGCCUGUUAAUGCCUGUCUGUGACUACGAUUCGUGUCACUGGCCAGUGCACACAAGCAACUGAGGGCAAAAUUUUGUCUGUAAAGAAAGGUCUAAAUCUGCAAAGCCAUCCCUAGUGCCAAAGUGGCUUUCAAGAUGAAACUAUACAUUUGGUUAUUUUGUACAGUAUGAAAGUAGAGGAUUGUGAGAGGUUCCAGGAUGCUGGCUACACGUUUUAUGCUAAAAAUAAAGGUAGACUUACUAGUUAUGUCAGCAUAUCUUUAGGUUAUUAAGUGAGAGGUCUGUCCAGCCCAGUAAUUCUGUGACUGUUAAAAAUGAAGCAUCUGUAUUUUUAAUCCCAUAUGAUUAAACAUUUGAAAGGAAACCAUCACAAUGUUUACAAAAAUACAGCAUGAUACAUAUCGCUGUGGACAAAUUUACAGUAGAAUGUUGAUUCACACGUUCCCACAUGUUUUACUGAGUAGUUCUGGCAAGUCACCACAUUAAACAUAGACCAGCAACUUACACCAUCAGAGCAAUGUAACAUCUUCUAUUAUAGUUCUUUUUAAAAAAGUGUAAGUUCAACACUGAAAAGCUACUAUAGGGUAUCUGUACUGUGACAUUUCUAUACACUGAGUUUCUCCUCCAGGGGCCACCAUGUACUGUUGACUGCUCAAAGAAAGUCACCUCCUGCCUGUAGUGAGGGCUGCUGUCUCAGACCCCUUGGCCUGGUGAAGUCCAGUAUGACUAAACUGUUCAUUCACUUACAGAAAAUAAAUGAGUUAUUCUGGUGCAGGCACAUGCCUUUUAACCCCCUCAUCAAAAAUCGCCAAAAAAUAAAAUGAAUUGAGAGGUAUUGGACAUUUAAGGGCCUAAAGCAUAUCCUGAUUGAGAGAGGUCUUAUUUACGGUGGAGCCUGUGUCCCAAGAUGCCCUGAGGGCUGUCUAUGAGAGAUCAGUCACAACCGCAGGCAAAGAGGAGAGAGGGGUCAGGAAGAAACUACUAUGUGGGUGAGCUGACCUUUAAGAGACUGCCUCUGUCCUCCACUCAUGGUCAGGCUGGAACUAGAGGAGUGCUGCACCCCAAAAGGCCCUUCCUGGUAUUUGAGGAAGGGGCUGGCACCCCUGUGCUGCCCAGCACAUCGGGAGAAAAGCAGGAGGGAGGGGAUAAGGGUAAAAGGAGCAAUCAGUAGCUUCUCUCGUGGCUUGCACAAGGCAGUUAGGAAAGCUGGGGAGCAUGAGAUAUGUGUUCAGGAGAGUCGCUGCUGAUGAGGUAGCACUAAGGACAGUCAAAAGCAAAGUGAACUUUCUUUCCAAAAACAAGUUCCCUGUACCUGCCACUGGGGAAAUGUUGCCUUACGGAGGGCUGGUUCAGGCCAGGAAGCAUGCCAGUGAUGGCCUGAGAUACCGGACAAGGGUAAGGAGAUGGAAAACAUGAAAAGGAAAGGGGUUUAUUUCUUUGGCAUUACAUAUUUCUGGAGUGCAUCAAUUUAGAGGGACAGAGGACCCCUAAGCCUUUAAAAUUUAAGUUUUUCAAUGGACUGAUUUCUGUUUUGUUUUAAAGUCAGUAUCUGCUUCCAACAUUGUGCACCACUGUGAAUUCUGCUUUAGCAUGGCUCUUUUUGUAACAGCUUGCUUAAUCUGGACCCUGUGUUCACUUACAACAGGAGUUUAAGCUAGGCUGCUCUUAUCCAACCCUUCCCUGAAUGCACUGUUGAGCAUCCGACCAGCACAUUGCCUCAUCUAUUUCAAGGAAAGGGUAUAAAACACAAAAGAAAGCAAAACUAAGAAAAGGCAAUUUAAAGCCUCUGAAGCUACAUGUCUGCAGAACAGGAACAGACAAAGCAAAACCUGUCUUCUGAAAUGGCAAUUUGGUUUUAGCAAUCUUAUUUUAAUGAAAACUGUCAUGAUCAACCCUAGUCCCCUGGAAAUCUAGAUAUACAUAGUGUCUAUCUGAUAUACAAAGCAAUUUUUAUCUAUUAGAAGUGCCUGUUAUUAUUGUUCUGGGUCUUUGAAGGAUUCUGCUGUUGACAAACACUGCUGUUUUACAUGGGAAGCUUAAUUUCCUGGCAGAGUUGGCUAAAGGAAGUCCCUGAAUUUUCCAUCUUGUGUAGUAUUUUAAGGUAGCAUUUAUAAUUACGUUAUUUUCUGUUAGGAAAUGGGAGACCGUUUCUUUUUUUUUU